This 497-nucleotide ribosomal RNA is filed under the name uncultured bacterium. RNAcentral describes it as "partial 16S ribosomal RNA". It matches the Rfam family "Bacterial small subunit ribosomal RNA", at positions 28 to 507 of the family's 1533-position model. The record is from RNAcentral.
GAUGAACGCUGGCGGCGUGCCUAAUACAUGCAAGUCGAGCGAACAGACGCUGAGCUUGCUCCUCUGACGUUAGCCGCGGGCGGGUGUGUAACACGUGGAUAACCUCCCUAUAAGUCUGGGAUAACUUCGGGAAACCGGCGCUAAUACCGGAUAAUAUAUUGAACCGCAUGGUGCGAUAGUGAAAUACGGCUUUGCGGUCACUUCUAGAUGGUUCCGGGCCGUAUUAGGUAGUUGGUACGGUCACGGCUUAGCAAGGCGAGGCGGCGUGGCCGACGUGAGAGGGGGAUCGGCCACAUUGGAGCGUGACCACGGUCCAGAGUACUGCGGGAGGGAGCAGUAGGGAAUGGUCCGCAAUGGGCGAAAGCAUGACGGAGCAACGGCACGUGAGUGAUGAAGGUCUUCGGAGCGUAAAACUCGGUUAUUAGGGAAGAACAACUGUGUACGUAAAUAUGCACGUCUUGACGGUACCUAAUCAGAAAGCCCCGGCUAACUACGUG